Molecule: non-coding RNA, 115 nt
Organism: Triticum aestivum (bread wheat)
Lineage: Eukaryota; Viridiplantae; Streptophyta; Magnoliopsida; Poales; Poaceae
Source: Rfam
CUUGUACUCCCUCCGUCCAAAAAUACUUGUCAUUGAAAUGGAUGUAUCUAGAUGUAUUUUAGUUCUAGACACAUCCAUUUUGAUGACAAGUAAUUCCGGACAGAGGGAGUACUUG